Molecule: ribosomal RNA, 103 nt
Filed under: Bedotia sp. ZSM 34168
Lineage: Eukaryota; Metazoa; Chordata; Actinopteri; Atheriniformes; Bedotiidae
Description: partial 12S ribosomal RNA
Source: RNAcentral
GAGCAGCGCAGGACCCGUAACUCUACCCCAAGCCAUCAACACUUAAUAAGUAAAACCCUAUCUAGGCAAAGGGGAGGCAAGUCGUAACAUGGUAAGUGUACCG